UACGAAGGGGGCGAGCGUUGUUCGGAAUUACUGGGCGUAAAGGGCGCGCAGGCGGCUCUGAAAGUCAGAUGUGAAAGCCCCGGGCUUAACCUGGGAACUGCAUUUGAUACUCUGGAGCUUGAGUACGGGAGAGGAUAGUGGAAUUCCCAGUGUAGAGGUGAAAUUCGUAGAUAUUCGCAAGAACACCAGUGGCGAAGGCGGCUCACUGGCCCGAUACUGACGCUGAGGUGCGAAAGCGUGGGGAGCAAACAGG
Molecule: ribosomal RNA, 253 nt
Filed under: uncultured bacterium
Lineage: Bacteria
Description: partial 16S ribosomal RNA
Rfam family: Bacterial small subunit ribosomal RNA
Source: RNAcentral